This is a long non-coding RNA of Chloebia gouldiae (Gouldian finch), 1627 nucleotides long. The record is from Ensembl. Lineage: Eukaryota; Metazoa; Chordata; Aves; Passeriformes; Passeridae.
GGGGUCCCUCCCUCCAGGUCUCAGCUUUCCGUGCUGAGACAUCAGAGCAACCAGUGCCAGGGAAGUUGUGGGAUAUGGAAAAGGUCUAACUGCCCAAACCAUCGAGCCCAGCAGUUUGCCCGAAUACUGGAAGGAGAAGGCAGCUCCGAUGCUGCUGCAGCUUCCCUGCAGCUGCCAGGGGAAGUAAUAGAAUCUUAGAAUCAUCUGGGUUGGAAAAGAUCACCUGUAAGAUCAUCGAGUCAGGUUGUGCUGUCACUUCUCCAUCCUCUUCUCCUCUUCCUCCCUGGGUCUCCAGCCCGAUGGGAGCAGGACUCCCGACUGAGUCUCCAGGGUGGGAUGUCCCCAGCUACAUGGGAGUCAGGGAUUCCUAAAGGCGUGUCACCCCCCUCCUGGCUCUGGAACACGGGUUCGAGCUGCCCAGGACGGCUCAGGCCACAUCCCUGCCGUGCCAGAACCUGCAUCUCACCUGGGCGCUGCGCAGAGGUGAGGAGGAGGAGGCUCAGGGGCUGUUGCAGCUGCCUGGUGCCACUGCUGCUGUUCCUGCCGUCCACGUUGAGGUACCACAGGUUACAUCCACUGCAGAGGGAUGGAGUCUCAGCCUUCCCUAAUAAUCCUAAGAAUCAAUAGCAGUGUCACAGAUGUGCAGAACAACACCUCUGAGUUGAGAGGGGAACUUCUCAGCAGGAUUUACUCUGAAACCUAGUGACAACACUUCAAGUACCUGUGCUAUCUAUGUCCCUGCUGCUCGUUCUAGCAGAUAGUUCUUACUAAUGAGCUUUACUCAACAGCACUAGAUUUGUCUGUAAGAGCAAAUUCCAGGGAUCAAAAAAUAAGUUUUAAGAUGCAAAUAUUCUGUGAGAUAUCCAGAUUUAAAUGCAUUUUUUUUCUUUUGUUCCUUACUCCAGGAAUAAUUUUUAAAGGAAGCAAGGAGAGAUCCUCUGGAAUGUGAGAGAAUUUUUUUUAGAAGAAAACACCAAAUAACAUAAAAUCACAGGUUUAGUUUUGGUUAGUUUAGGGUUUUUUUAGCUUAUAACCAUGGAAUUUGGAAAAGUUCCCUUCUGUUCACCCAGGGUAGUGUAAGCACAGAUGCCCCCCAUGGGAAGCAGGUCAGGCUCAUCCCCUCCUCUCUGGUUACAGAAUAUCACUGGGGAGGCCAUGGACAUGCUGGUGGGUGCCAGGACUGGUGGCACAGGGUGAACCCCAGCCAGCCACCUCACUGCCCAGGGCAGAGAAAGCUCAGCAGAUGGGUGGUCUCUGGCAGGUGACAAAAAGACUCAAAUAAGUCCCUAAAAUGUCCAACUCAUCCUGGUGGUGGGUUCUCCCUCUGUCCCAAGGUUGGACCCCAGUGCAAGGACCUGAUCUCAGACACAGAUGCUGGGAGAAUUCACACCCCAAGACAGGUUGUUUUUCAGUUUUCUUUAAUCUUCCACAUGACUUUUUUUUUCCAUUUGAGGCAGGAGUACUAACUGCUAAGGAUGCAUAUGGAAUUUGAAUAUGAAUGAUAAGAACAGCUGUGUAUAUCUAUUAUGAAUGAACAUAAACAGAAAUGUAUAAACUGAGAUUUUGGGGCUUUUGGAAGAAUUAGUGCCUUUGUUCCUGGAUUUUUUUCCUAUCAAAGUUUGAACCA